This 1165-nucleotide long non-coding RNA is filed under the name Chrysemys picta bellii (western painted turtle). RNAcentral's name for it is "lncRNA (ENSCPBG00000013988.1)". The record is from RNAcentral. Lineage: Eukaryota; Metazoa; Chordata; Testudines; Emydidae.
UGGCAUGGCUGCCUAAGUUAUAGCUGCUUGGAUGUGUUACAGCUACAUCUCUCCCAGGGGUUUCAUAGUGUAGAAUAAACUUCCCUGAACAAAGUCUGUGCCAGAAGGAAUUCUCCCCUGACCAGAUCCAAGGCGCAAUGGUUCUUUUUAGCUGCUAUAGCAGUGUAAGAGAGCCAUAGUGGGAGAAGAAUCGUUCCCUUGCUAUAUACCUCCUCUUGCACAUUGGCACUGCCCUUAAAAUGUAAUAGCCAAUCUGUCCAUCCAUUCCUUAUUGAGAUUUUAACCCUUCUCUUAGAAACACUGAAUUGUUAUAGAGAUGCUAUAGAUCUAUUGAUAUAGAUAUGCUUUGAAACACAUAGCAGCAAAGCCACUCUCCUUCGCUUUACUUUGUUUUGUUGGGAGUGUACUCUCUGGUUCUCAAAAUGAUGGGAUGAUUUUGCCCUAUUUAGAGCUAAGCAAACUAUUUGCAGCAGAAAAUUAACCUGACAAAUAUAGCUUCUUUUUCCCAUCUGCGUUAUUGGCGAACACACACAGCUUUCUACAAAUGACAGUUCUUUGAAAUAAUUUAAUGACUGUUUCAUGAAAAAAACAUUUCAGCUCAUGCGUUGCUCACAAACUGUUAGUGGCGGGCAUUGCUUUGAGUCUCUUGUUGCUUGUGAUUCACCAGUCACUGUGUGUGAUGGUUCUCCUACAGUGAGCCAUGUGGCAUUGUUUCUGCUCUGUGACUGAGCCUUUUUCAAAUGGGAGGAGAGCUUAAAUAAGUCUCUUGUGGUGCAGAUGUUUAUUCAAACACAUUUCUUGUGGUGUAGAUGUUUAUUCAAACACAUUUCCACAAACAUCCUCAGGAACCAAAAAAAUCUCUUGUUUACGUGCUUGGUAAAGAUGACUGAAAGGGGUGGAGAAUCCCACAGUGUGAAUCCUUUUGUUCUAAGUGCCUCCCAUCUGAAAAAAAGACUGUUAUCUGAAAUGAGAAGCCAAUUUCCCAAGAAGAAGCUACAAAAGAUUUCCUGUGUUGGAAAGGUGAACGAGAGUCUGCAGAUUGCAAGAGAGAGAAAAGCAUCUCCUCUUAAAUAUCCACUUCUCCAUCCUGCACAGGCGAAGUAGGUUAGUAGAUUUCUCCUCUUUUGCAGGUGAAUUUCACAUUGUAAUUUUUAAAAAAUAUUGG